ACUACAAGGAUUCCCCUAGUAACGGCGAGUGAAGCGGGAAGAGCUCAAAUUUGAAAUCUGGCGGCUCACGGCCGUCCGAGUUGUAGUCUAGAGAGGCGUUAUCCGCGACGGACCACGUACAAGUCCUUUGGGAUGCGGCGUCAUAGAGGGUGAGAAUCCCGUCCAUGACGUGGACUACCGUCGCUUUGCGUUGCGCCUUCGAAGAGUCGAGUUGUUUGGGAAUGCAGCUCAAAACGGGUGGUAAAUUCCAUCUAAAGCUAAAUACAGGCGAGAGACCGAUAGCGAACAAGUACCGUGAGGGAAAGAUGAAAAGAACUUUGGAAAGAGAGUUAAACAGUACGUGAAAUUGCUGAAAGGGAAACGCUUGGAGUCAGUCGCGUCCUCGAGGAUUCAGCCCGGCUUUUGUCGGGUGCACUUCCUCUGGGGACGGGCCAGCAUCAGUUUCGAGCGUCGAAGAAUGGCGGGAGGAAUGUGGCACCUUCGGGUGUGUUAUAGCCUCCUGUCGGACGCGACGCUCGGGACUGAGGACCGCUUUGAUAGGAUGCUGGCGUAAUGGCUUUAAACGACCCGUCUUGAAACACGGACCAAGGAGUCUAACAUGCUCGCGAGUGUUUGGGUGGAAAACCCUUGCGCGUAAUGAAAGUGAAAAGUUUGGGACCGCGGCGACGCGGGCACCGACGCCCGACCCUGACGUUCUCCGGACGGG
Molecule: ribosomal RNA, 706 nt
Filed under: Basidiodendron trachysporum
Lineage: Eukaryota; Fungi; Basidiomycota; Agaricomycetes; Auriculariales; Exidiaceae
Description: partial large subunit ribosomal RNA
Rfam family: Eukaryotic large subunit ribosomal RNA
Source: RNAcentral